CCAUCUUUAACCACAACACUCACUUCCAGUUGUCAGCAACAAUGUGAGCCAAAUCCACAACCCUCUGCGAGUAACCCCACUCAUUAUCAUACCAUGCAAUCACCUUAACCAUAUCAUCACCCAUCACCAAAGUCAACGAUGAGUCAACCGUCGACGACACAUCAGAGCAUCGGAAGUCAACAGACACCAGGGGCUCAUCACACACCGAGAGGAUUCCCUUGAGCUCCCCAUCAGCACUCUCCCUGAAUGCAGCAUUAACUUCCUCAGCAAAAGUCUUCUUCGAGACUUGGACAACAAGGUCGACGACAGAGACGUUGGGGGUGGGGACACGGAGGGCAAUUCCGUUGAGCUUGCCCUUGAGGGAGGGGAGGACCAGAGCCACGGCUUUGGCAGCACCGGUGGAGGUUGGGACAAUGUUGAGAGCGGCAGCACGGGCACGACGGAGAUCACGGUGGCUGGCGUCGAGGAGACGCUGGUCGCCAGUGUAGGAGUGGGUGGUGGUCAUGGUUCCCUUGAUGAUACCGAACUUCUGGUCGAGGACCUUGACGAAGGGGGCGAGACAGUUGGUGGUGCAUGAGGCGUUGCUGAUGAUGGUGUCGUCAGGACUGUACUGGUCGGCGUUGACACCGACGACAUAGGUGGGGAUGUCACCCUUGCCAGGGGCUGUGAUCAGCACCUUCUUUGCUCCGGCCUGAAGGUGCUUUCCAGCACCCUCACGGUCUACGAAUACACCGGUUCCCUCGAUCACCAAGUCGAUACCUAAUUCACUCCAUGGAAGGUUGGCGGGGUUACGGUUGGAGACUACCUGGAUGGGCUUGCCAUCUACAGAGAUCACAUUGUCGCCGAUAGGUUUGACAUCAGCAUCAAAUAUGCCGAGGGUGGAGUCAUAUUUGAGGAGGUGGGAGGCUUGCUUGACACCGCCGGUGUCGUUGAUGGCGAUGAUCUCGAGGGGAGAGUCCUUGCGGCCGUGCCAGCACCGGAGGAAGUUGCGACCAAUGCGGCCGAACCCGUUGAUGGCCACCUUGAUCUUUGCCUCUGCCGGUCCCUUCCUGUACCCGCUGCUCACUGAGACCGCGGAUGUCUUGCAGGCGACCAUGGAGAGGAAGUCAUCUGAUGAGAUCUUCCUCGAUAUGGGAAGGGAAGAUGAGCUCCUCAGACCAGAGAAUUCUGAUAGCCCCGUACGAUUCCUCUGAAGGGAGGCAUUGGCUACCCGC
RNAcentral lists this unclassified non-coding RNA (1214 nucleotides) under Hevea brasiliensis (rubber tree). The record is from RNAcentral. Lineage: Eukaryota; Viridiplantae; Streptophyta; Magnoliopsida; Malpighiales; Euphorbiaceae.